GAUGAAGAACGUAGCGAAAUGCGAUAAGUAAUGUGAAUUGCAGAAUUCAGUGAAUCAUCGAAUCUUUGAACGCACAUUGCGCCCGCCAGCAUUCUGGCGAGCAUGCCUGUUCGAGCGUCAUUUCAACCCUCGAGCCCCCCCGGGGGCCUCGGUGUUGGGGGACGGCACACCAGCCGCCCCCGAAAUGCAGUGGCGACCCCGCCGCAGCCUCCCCUGCGUAGUAGCACACACCUCGCACCGGAGCGCGGAGGCGGUCACGCCGUAAAACGCCCAACUUUCUUAGAGUUGACCUCGGAUCAGGUAGGAAUACCCGCUGAACUUAAGCAUAUCAAUAAGCGGAGGA
Molecule: unclassified non-coding RNA, 343 nt
Filed under: soil metagenome
Description: partial contains 5.8S ribosomal RNA, internal transcribed spacer 2, and large subunit ribosomal RNA
Rfam family: 5.8S ribosomal RNA (bases 1-120)
Source: RNAcentral